ACAACACGCUGGAAAGAGACGGGCUGAUGGUGCCGUCUCGCCGAAGGAGCAAGCCCGCAUGCCGGGCGGAAUCUCUCAGGCGCCCAGGACAGCGGGGG
This 98-nucleotide non-coding RNA is filed under the name uncultured Hyphomonas sp. RNAcentral's name for it is "Glycine riboswitch". It matches the Rfam family "Glycine riboswitch aptamer". Rfam says of the family: This family represents the bacterial glycine riboswitch. Glycine riboswitches usually consist of two metabolite-binding aptamers domains with similar structures in tandem. The record is from RNAcentral. Lineage: Bacteria; Pseudomonadati; Pseudomonadota; Alphaproteobacteria; Hyphomonadales; Hyphomonadaceae.